AUUGAACGCUGGCGGCAGGCCUAACACAUGCAAGUCGAACGAGUGGCGGACGGGUGCGUAAUGUCUGGGAAACUGCCCGAUGGAGGAGGAUAACUACGGGACACGGUAGCUAAUACCGCAUACCAUCGGAUUUGCCCAGAUGGGAUUAGCUAGUAGGUGGGGUAACGGCUCACCUUGGCGACGAGCCCUAGCUGGUCUGAGAGGAUGACCAGCCACACUGGAACUGAGACACGGUCCAGACUCCGACGGGAGGCAGCAGUGGGGAAUAUUGCACAAUGGGCGCAAGCCUGAUGCAGCCAUGCCGCGUGAAUGAAGAAGGCCUUCGGGUUGUAAAGUACUUUUAGCGAGGAGGCGUUACUCGCAGAGGAAGCACCGGCUAACUCCGUGCCAGCAGCGGCGGUAAUUC
This 406-nucleotide ribosomal RNA is filed under the name uncultured bacterium. Its description in RNAcentral is "partial 16S ribosomal RNA". It matches the Rfam family "Bacterial small subunit ribosomal RNA", at positions 30 to 526 of the family's 1533-position model. The record is from RNAcentral.